CCUACGGGGGGCUGCAGUGGGGAAUAUUGGACAAUGGGGGGAACCCUGAUCCAGCCAUGCCGCGUGUGUGAAGAAGGCCCUCGGGUUGUAAAGCACUUUCAGUGAGGAAGAACGCCUGGUGGUUAAUACCCAUCAGGAAAGACAUCACUCACAGAAGAAGCACCGGCUAACUCCGUGCCAGCAGCCGCGGUAAUACGGAGGGUGCGAGCGUUAAUCGGAAUUACUGGGCGUAAAGCGCGCGUAGGUGGCUUGAUAAGCCGGUUGUGAAAGCCCCGGGCUCAACCUGGGAACGGCAUCCGGAACUGUCAAGCUAGAGUGCAGGAGAGGAAGGUAGAAUUCCCGGUGUAGAGGUGAAAUGCGUAGAGAUCGGGAGGAAUACCAGUGGCGAAGGCGGCCUUCUGGACUGACACUGACACUGAGGUGCGAAAGCGUGGGUAGCAAACAGGAUUAGAUACCCGUGUAGUC
This 465-nucleotide ribosomal RNA is filed under the name Vreelandella stevensii. Its description in RNAcentral is "partial 16S ribosomal RNA". It matches the Rfam family "Bacterial small subunit ribosomal RNA", at positions 338 to 795 of the family's 1533-position model. The record is from RNAcentral. Lineage: Bacteria; Pseudomonadati; Pseudomonadota; Gammaproteobacteria; Oceanospirillales; Halomonadaceae.